UAUUAACGCCAGCCUACACCUGUACCGUUUCCACUUUCCCGCCAAUCCGAAAACCUCCAGCAUCUCCUCUGACCAUAAAACCACCAGUCCUCCUUCCUCUUUCCUAGUAUUGGUAGUUUCUCCCCGCCUUAAUCACAGACACGCUUCCAUCCGAUACUUCCAGAAUGUAGCUUGUACCUCUACCCCUUUGUUGCUUCCAUUUGCCCGCGCUUCAUGCCAACUCCCGCCCCCCUGCCGAGAGAGCUCGCUCUCCUGCAACUGCCAACCUUCCUGUCCGGCCACUCCGGAUGCGGACAUUGCUGCUGAUAUCCAUUGCCCGGGGCUUUUACAUACACUACAACAGCUUUGUGGCUUUUCACUCUCUCCCACUUCAUGCCAGAUCUCCUUGCUCCCCUCAUGCUCUUGGUGUUCCCUUUUGUUUUCUUCUUCUUCUGCAUUUUUAUCCCCACUCUUGCACCUCCAAACUACUCGAGGAAACGUCAGUAUGAUUCUGUUCAUUUUCAGCGGUUCCUUUUUUCCACGAACUUCUGACUUAUGUUGAUUCUCCAUUUGCAAUCUCAACCGUUUCCCUACCUUCCGCCAAAGGAUCUACUCAUAGCGUGUUAAGAUGUUAGGGAAUGCUCUCGCAGGUAAGCUACUUAUUCCAUGGUUCUUUUUUUAUUUUUUAUUUUUAUUUUUUGGGUCAAGAUUGAAGGGUAUCACGCGUACAGUUGGAAAGAGGAGGUGAAGGCUUGCAAUCGGAGAAUCAUUUAUCAGUUUUAAUUAUUUCUGAUUCUAUUAUUCACUUCCUCAAGAGGACGACGACUUACGGUAGGCAGCAAUUGUUUCACGAAAUUUUCAUAAUAGGACCAACGAACAGAUGGGCGGCGUGCAUCAAAGGAGGUUGGUUUGGUAAUCUCCACAUCUUGAUAUAAUGUUCGCCAACUAUCCCUACAGGAAGGAUCAUUUCAUGUAUGACCAUUUUCAGGUUUUAGCACUCCAAUGGAAGAAAUAUUGAUGUUAAAAUUUAUUACUUUCUUUCGGUGAUAUUGUCUUAAUUGACAGUGUUCACUUUCCUGAUGUUGUAUCUCAGUAGAUAUUAGGGCAUAAUAUAAACUGAUAUCUUCCCUCUCAUUUGUCUAAUCAUAUAUUGAGCAAAACAUCAUCACUUGCUGCAACUUACCCGCGUUCUUCAAAACAAUGCCAACAAUGCGGACCUUUGGUGCAAUUCAAACCUUGCCAGUGGAUCUUCUCCUUCCGCUCCAAUAGCCUAACCCUUGAAUUGUCGCUCUGCCCCAGUCGUUCGUGCCUCUUGUCCGACAUUGGUGGGAUAGAGCCCAGUUCACGUACUGCUUUGUUCAUACUAGAGUUUGCUUGAAGUUUAUUAUUCAUGAAUGCACGUUUUCGAGUUCAACGAUCUAUAUUCUGGUGAUUAUGUCUCUCUUUUAUUUUAUGCCCUCAUUUUGCUUUUCUUUCCUUUGGAUAAUGACUAUUUUUGCCAUCAUAUACAUUUUGUCGGUUGAUGCCCGUCAUUACUAUCCAUUAGAGUUUGCUAUGUGAUUUUAUCAUUUGUGUAGUUCAAGAGUUUUCCGUCAUCAUGCAUGCCAAGUGCUGGCUAAAAUUCUCGUAUUGUUCCUCCUAUAUGAAGCUACAAAAAUGCCUUGGACGUCGAACCUAUCGUACGAUGCAAUUUUAUCUUCGCUUGCCAAGUUACAUUUCUUUUUUCAAUUUGUCCUGAAAUUACUGCUAUUCACCCACCCCAUCACCCAACUUGGAGAAUUAACGUUCCUAUUCACCGCACUUUCCUAUUCACCCCACUAAGAAUCCUGCACCUCUUGGUCCAAAUAUGCGUCCUCCCUGCUUCCUAAUAUUGACUCUUGUCCCAGUAAUAGUCUGAAAUCUUUCCCACUUCAUUUUCAAUCUUUUGCUCAUGGUUGCUUAUGAGAAAUCAUCGUAAAAGUAUAUACUCAAUGUUUAUAAAAAAAAAAAAGAGCAUAUAUGAGCUCUGAAAGACAAAUCCGUAUAGAUGUUGGCUUUUAAUUUAUAUGUUCAAUAUAAAAGGAACUGUUAAUAUGUGACUGUAUACAUACAAAUGCAGACAGACGACUUAUCAAUUUUGUUUGCUGACUGAAAAUAUGUUAUCCCCGUUGGUUGAUACUUUUAUCUUUAUUAGGUAUGAUUUUCAAGUGGGUUAUGUACUGAGGAUAUAUAGUCAGUAAUGGCGCUCCUCAUGUAUCAGAUGAUGGAUCAUCUAGGAGAAGCACUGGAUAUUAAUAGUUUCUUGUGGGGAUGUGGGCAAACAACCACUCGGUACUCUCUGAGGGACCUGACAUGGGAAUGAAGGUUGCUUUCUAGCUCUAAGAGUAAGCAACAUGUACUAUCGUACAACCAAAAUGUAGCAAUACCUGCCGGACUUGCUCAUAUUCCAAAAUUGACAUUCCCGUAUUUGAAAUAAUCAGGAAACUUCGAGUACAACAAUCGGUGGAAUGCCUGUGAGGGAACUGGUAUAAAUACUCUAAAGGAGUCUUUUAACAAUUUCUUGCUUUCUUUUAUCUUUGAAGCCUCUUAUGCAGUAACUGGUUCUGAGAUCCAUGUAACUUAUGUUGAAAUAAGGAUAUGGAUGCACAGUGUAUCGCCCGAGCUGCUGAGUAAAGCAGAAGAUUCAAUUCAAACAUGUAAAUUAUUUAUAGUGCCAUGUUAAUAAAUGCUUUGCAAUUCUCUCUC
Molecule: non-coding RNA, 2703 nt
Organism: Punica granatum (pomegranate)
Lineage: Eukaryota; Viridiplantae; Streptophyta; Magnoliopsida; Myrtales; Lythraceae
Source: RefSeq, a predicted model, not a curated record